GUCUACGGCCAUGCCACCCUGAACUGCGUGAUCCCGGAAGCUAAGCAGGUUUGGGCCUGGUUAGUACUUGGAUGGGAGACCCCUUAGGAAUACCAGGUGCUAUAGGCG
RNAcentral lists this ribosomal RNA (108 nucleotides) under Pteropus alecto (black flying fox). The record is from RNAcentral. Lineage: Eukaryota; Metazoa; Chordata; Mammalia; Chiroptera; Pteropodidae.